AUUUUUUAUAACUCUCAAAGGAUUGGGUUGGUCAUAGGUGAAGUAAGUGUCGUUCUCAUUGCUUCCUAUCUCACUGUCAUGGUAAACAAACACAAGUGAUAAAUUUGUGAUAUUUUCGGUAGAAGUUUCGUCUAGAAAAUCAAUUUAUAAGUAUAACAUAACAAAACUAAUAUUUGCUUUCUUUGCACUGAUAUUAUUUCUUUCACAUAUAGAGUAGUAUUUAUAGGAAACAUGCGCAAAACAAAUUUACAUGUAGAUUCAUAAUGCAAUAAUAAUACAAACUUUAAAAUAAAUAAUAUUGGUAUACCUUUCUUUCUGCAGGCAAUAUUGCCCCCCAAUGACAUUGUUACAUGAGUUCACGCAUGCUACAACAAAAUAACUCCGCCUAAAUUUCACAAUAUGCUAUGAAAAAUGGUUGUAGAGUCAUGAAAACGUUGAUUUUAGUGAUAUACUUUAUGCU
RNAcentral lists this long non-coding RNA (460 nucleotides) under Glycine max (soybean). RNAcentral describes it as "long non-coding RNA (GMAX_LNC002609)". The record is from RNAcentral. Lineage: Eukaryota; Viridiplantae; Streptophyta; Magnoliopsida; Fabales; Fabaceae.